UACGGGGGGGGUAAGCGUUGUUCGGAAUUACUGGGCGUAAAGGGCUCGUAGGCGGCCAACUAAGUCAUACGUGAAAUCCCUCAGCUUAACUGGGGAACUGCGUGUGAUACUGGAUGGCUUGGAUUUGGGAGAGGGAUGCGGAAUUCCAGGUGUAGCGGUGAAAUGCGCAGAUAUCGGGAGGAACACCGGUGGCGAAGGCGGUUCUCUGGGACUGUACUGACGCUGAGGAGCGAAAGCGUGGGGAGCAAACAGG
Molecule: ribosomal RNA, 253 nt
Filed under: uncultured bacterium
Lineage: Bacteria
Description: partial 16S ribosomal RNA
Rfam family: Bacterial small subunit ribosomal RNA
Source: RNAcentral